GACGACGGCUGGCGGCGUGGAUUAGGCAUGCAAGUCGAACGGUAGGAUACCUUCGGGUAUCUGAGAGUGGCGAACGGGUGAGUAACACGUAGGUGAAUCUACCCUCAAGAUUGGGACAACCCAGGGAAACUUGGGCUAAUACCGGAUGAAAGCAGCAGUGAUGUUGUUUGAAAGGUGGCGUAAGCUGCCGUUUGGGGAUGAGCCUGCGCUCUAUUAGUUAGUUGGCGGGGUAAAGGCCCACCAAGGCGAUGAUAGAUAGGCGGCCUUAACGGGUGGUCGCCCACACUGGGAUUGAGAUACGGCCCAGACUCCUACGGGAGGCAGCAGUCGAGAAUAGUCUACAAUGGCCGAAAGGCUGAUAGUGCGACGCCGCGUGAACGAAGAAGCCCUUCGGGGUGUAAAGUUCUUUUAUAUGUGAGCAGUGCUUUCUAUGUGAACAGCAUGGGGAGAGAGAUAUUAGCAUAUGAAUAAGCAACGGCUAACUCCGUG
RNAcentral lists this ribosomal RNA (489 nucleotides) under uncultured bacterium. RNAcentral describes it as "bacterial SSU rRNA". It matches the Rfam family "Bacterial small subunit ribosomal RNA", at positions 28 to 507 of the family's 1533-position model. The record is from RNAcentral.